UGAGGAAUAUUGGUCAAUGGGCGAGAGCCUGAACCAGCCAAGUAGCGUGCAGGACGACGGCCCUAUGGGUUGUAAACUGCUUUUAUGUGGGGAUAAAGUGCGUGACGUGUCAUGCAUUGCAGGUACCAGAUGAAUAAGGACCGGCUAAUUCCGUGCCAGCAGCCGCGGUAAUACGGAAGGUCCGGGCGUUAUCCGGAUUUAUUGGGUUUAAAGGGAGCGUAGGCUGUCUAUUAAGCGUGUUGUGAAAUAUACCGGCUCAACCGGUGGCUUGCAGCGCGAACUGGUCGACUUGAGUAUGCAGGAAGUAGGCGGAAUUCAUGGUGUAGCGGUGAAAUGCUUAGAUAUCAUGACGAACUCCGAUUGCGCAGGCAGCUUACUGUAGCAUAACUGACGCUGAUGCUCGAAAGUGCGGGUAUCAAACAGG
This 424-nucleotide ribosomal RNA is filed under the name Verrucomicrobiota bacterium. RNAcentral's name for it is "Verrucomicrobia bacterium partial 16S ribosomal RNA". It matches the Rfam family "Bacterial small subunit ribosomal RNA", at positions 355 to 776 of the family's 1533-position model. Lineage: Bacteria; Pseudomonadati; Verrucomicrobiota. The record is from RNAcentral.